UACGUAGGGUGCAAGCGUUGUCCGGAAUUAUUGGGCGUAAAGAGCUCGUAGGCGGUCUGUCGCGUCUGCUGUGAAAACUCGGGGCUUAACCCCGGGCCUGCAGUGGGUACGGGUAGACUAGAGUGCGGUAGGGGAGACUGGAAUUCCUGGUGUAGCGGUGAAAUGCGCAGAUAUCAGGAGGAACACCGGUGGCGAAGGCGGGUCUCUGGGCCGUAACUGACGCUGAGGAGCGAAAGCGUGGGGAGCGAACAGG
This 253-nucleotide ribosomal RNA is filed under the name uncultured bacterium. RNAcentral's name for it is "partial 16S ribosomal RNA". It matches the Rfam family "Bacterial small subunit ribosomal RNA", at positions 524 to 776 of the family's 1533-position model. The record is from RNAcentral.